AUGAACGCUGGCGGCGUGCCUAAUACAUGCAAGUCGAGCGAACAGACGAGGAGCUUGCUCCUCUGACGUUAGCGGCGGACGGGGGAGUAACACGUGGAUAACCUACCUAUAAGACUGGGAUAACUUCGGGAAACCGGAGCUAAUACCGGAUAAUAUAUUGAACCGCAUGGUUCAAUAGUGAAAGACGGUUUUGCCGUCACUUAUAGAUGGAUCCGCGCCGCAUUAGCUAGUUGGUAAGGUAACGGCUUACCAAGGCAACGAUGCGUAGCCGACCUGAGAGGGUGACCGGCCACACUGGAACUGAGACACGGUCCAGACUCCUACGGGAGGCAGCAGUAGGGAAUCUUCCGCAAUGGGCGAAAGCCUGACGGAGCAACGCCGCGUGAGUGAUGAAGGUCUUCGGAUCGUAAAACUCUGUUAUUAGGGAAGAACAAAUGUGUAAGUAACUAUGCACGUCUUGACGGUACCUAAUCAGAAAGCCACGGCUAACUACGUG
RNAcentral lists this ribosomal RNA (496 nucleotides) under uncultured bacterium. Its description in RNAcentral is "partial 16S ribosomal RNA". It matches the Rfam family "Bacterial small subunit ribosomal RNA", at positions 29 to 507 of the family's 1533-position model. The record is from RNAcentral.